GAGGGUAUAGCUCAGUGGUAGAGUGCAUGCUUACUUAGCAUGCAGGAGGUCAUGGGUUCGAUCCCCAGUACCUGCA
Camelus ferus (Wild Bactrian camel) is the source of this 76-nucleotide transfer RNA. It matches the Rfam family "tRNA". From Rfam's summary of the family: Transfer RNA (tRNA) molecules are approximately 80 nucleotides in length. Their secondary structure includes four short double-helical elements and three loops (D, anti-codon, and T loops). Further hydrogen bonds mediate the characteristic L-shaped molecular structure. tRNAs have two regions of fundamental functional importance: the anti-codon, which is responsible for specific mRNA codon recognition, and the 3' end, to which the tRNAs corresponding amino acid is attached (by aminoacyl-tRNA synthetases). tRNAs cope with the degeneracy of the genetic code in two manners: having more than one tRNA (with a specific anti-codon) for a particular amino acid; and 'wobble' base-pairing, i.e. permitting non-standard base-pairing at the 3rd anti-codon position. Lineage: Eukaryota; Metazoa; Chordata; Mammalia; Artiodactyla; Camelidae. The record is from Rfam.